RNAcentral lists this long non-coding RNA (226 nucleotides) under Vigna radiata. RNAcentral's name for it is "long non-coding RNA (VRAD_LNC016955)". Lineage: Eukaryota; Viridiplantae; Streptophyta; Magnoliopsida; Fabales; Fabaceae. The record is from RNAcentral.
AGGAGCAUACAUUCACAUAAGACCAAGAGCUUAGAUACAGAGACUUACCUUCGCAGCUUCACAAGAACUUCUCCUUUUGAUUCUAGUUCCCUCUGUUUUCUUGAUUGAGAUUUUCUUUUGCUUAUCCAAUGCUCUUGCAGGCGCGAGAAGGUUGAAUGGGAAGUUCACGGAUGACAACCAAGGUUAAAGCAAUCGGUUCUCUUUUGCUCUCGCCGUGAGGUCUCUU